RNAcentral lists this ribosomal RNA (400 nucleotides) under uncultured bacterium. Its description in RNAcentral is "bacterial SSU rRNA". It matches the Rfam family "Bacterial small subunit ribosomal RNA", at positions 355 to 765 of the family's 1533-position model. The record is from RNAcentral.
UCGAGGAUCUUCGGCAAUGGACGAAAGUCUGACCGAGCGACGCCGCGUGUGCGAUGAAGGCCUUCGGGUUGUAAAGCACUGUCGAGGGGGAGAAAAGCGCAAGCUUGAUCUAUCCCUGGAGGAAGCACGGGCUAAGUUCGUGCCAGCAGCCGCGGUAAGACGAACCGUGCGAACGUUAUUCGGAAUCACUGGGCUUAAAGGGUGCGUAGGCGGGUUGCCAAGUCUGUGGUGAAAUCCUCCAGCUUAACUGGAGAACUGCCGUGGAUACUGGCGACCUCGAGGGGGGCAGGGGCUUGCGGAACUGUGCGUGGAGCGGUGAAAUGCGUUGAUAUGCACAGGAACUCCGGUGGCGAAAGCGGCGAGCUGGACCCUUACUGACGCUGAGGCACGAAAGCCAGGG